This is a non-coding RNA of Oryctolagus cuniculus (rabbit), 542 nucleotides long. NCBI's taxonomy places the organism in Eukaryota, Metazoa, Chordata, Mammalia, Lagomorpha, Leporidae. The record is from RefSeq and is a predicted model, not a curated record.
AUUACUUUUAUAUUGAGAGAAACAUCUUGUGAAUUGAAAAGCUACUAUCAACUUAACAAUUCUCCCAUGAAAAAGCUGAUGGCCUUUUAUAUCAUCUUUAGGAAGAAAUCAGAAGUCACCUCAACUUCUCAUCAAAGCUACAAACAUAAACUUCCAUCUCCACCAGAAUGUAGAUACGAUGGCUGGAACUAUAAGUAUCCUUGGGAAUGAAGGCUACACUUACAGAGCAACAAAAUAGGAGUCUAGAUUCCUGGAAGCAAUGGCUUUAUAAAGAGGCACCUGAUUUCAGGCCUUAGUCCUGGAAUGAAAUGUCAUCACCUUCAAAAGCUGGAAUGAGAGCUUUAUGACUACCUGAUACAACCAGGCUCCUUCCUAUGGGAGCCAAUGAGUGUCACCAGAAGGGCUCAGAGCUUUGGGAAGCAGCCCACUUCAUGACUGGACUGCUCUAAGAACGUGAAAAACUCAUCCUUCUGCUGCUCUGAAAUGUGUCUCUUUGUGGCUUCUACCCGUGAUAUCCAGGCUAUAGCACGCAAUAAACAGAA